UGAACACGGACAAACAAAUGUGUAAAUA
RNAcentral lists this non-coding RNA (28 nucleotides) under Bombyx mori (domestic silkworm). Lineage: Eukaryota; Metazoa; Arthropoda; Insecta; Lepidoptera; Bombycidae. The record is from RNAcentral.